GGUUAAGCGACUAAGCGUACACGGUGGAUGCCCUGGCAGUCAGAGGCGAUGAAGGACGUGCUAAUCUGCGAUAAGCGUCGGUAAGGUGAUAUGAACCGUUAUAACCGGCGAUUUCCGAAUGGGGAAACCCAGUGUGUUUCGACACACUAUCAUUAACUGAAUCCAUAGGUUAAUGAGGCGAACCGGGGGAACUGAAACAUCUAAGUACCCCGAGGAAAAGAAAUCAACCGAGAUUCCCCCAGUAGCGGCGAGCGAACGGGGAGCAGCCCAGAGCCUGAAUCAGUGUGUGUGUUAGUGGAAGCGUCUGGAAAGGCGCGCGAUACAGGGUGACAGCCCCGUACACAAAAAUGCACAUGCUGUGAGCUCGAUGAGUAGGGCGGGACACGUGGUAUCCUGUCUGAAUAUGGGGGGACCAUCCUCCAAGGCUAAAUACUCCUGACUGACCGAUAGUGAACCAGUACCGUGAGGGAAAGGCGAAAAGAACCCCGGCGAGGGGAGUGAAAAAGAACCUGAAACCGUGUACGUACAAGCAGUGGGAGCACGCUUAGGCGUGUGACUGCGUACCUUUUGUAUAAUGGGUCAGCGACUUAUAUUCUGUAGCAAGGUUAACCGAAUAGGGGAGCCGAAGGGAAACCGAGUCUUAACUGGGCGUUAAGUUGCAGGGUAUAGACCCGAAACCCGGUGAUCUAGCCAUGGGCAGGUUGAAGGUUGGGUAACACUAACUGGAGGACCGAACCGACUAAUGUUGAAAAAUUAGCGGAUGACUUGUGGCUGGGGGUGAAAGGCCAAUCAAACCGGGAGAUAGCUGGUUCUCCCCGAAAGCUAUUUAGGUAGCGCCUCGUGAAUUCAUCUCCGGGGGUAGAGCACUGUUUCGGCAAGGGGGUCAUCCCGACUUACCAACCCGAUGCAAACUGCGAAUACCGGAGAAUGUUAUCACGGGAGACACACGGCGGGUGCUAACGUCCGUCGUGAAGAGGGAAACAACCCAGACCGCCAGCUAAGGUCCCAAAGUCAUGGUUAAGUGGGAAACGAUGUGGGAAGGCCCAGACAGCCAGGAUGUUGGCUUAGAAGCAGCCAUCAUUUAAAGAAAGCGUAAUAGCUCACUGGUCGAGUCGGCCUGCGCGGAAGAUGUAACGGGGCUAAACCAUGCACCGAAGCUGCGGCAGCGACACUAUGUGUUGUUGGGUAGGGGAGCGUUCUGUAAGCCUGUGAAGGUGUGCUGUGAGGCAUGCUGGAGGUAUCAGAAGUGCGAAUGCUGACAUAAGUAACGAUAAAGCGGGUGAAAAGCCCGCUCGCCGGAAGACCAAGGGUUCCUGUCCAACGUUAAUCGGGGCAGGGUGAGUCGACCCCUAAGGCGAGGCCGAAAGGCGUAGUCGAUGGGAAACAGGUUAAUAUUCCUGUACUUGGUGUUACUGCGAAGGGGGGACGGAGAAGGCUAUGUUGGCCGGGCGACGGUUGUCCCGGUUUAAGCGUGUAGGCUGGUUUUCCAGGCAAAUCCGGAAAAUCAAGGCUGAGGCGUGAUGACGAGGCACUACGGUGCUGAAGCAACAAAUGCCCUGCUUCCAGGAAAAGCCUCUAAGCAUCAGGUAACAUCAAAUCGUACCCCAAACCGACACAGGUGGUCAGGUAGAGAAUACCAAGGCGCUUGAGAGAACUCGGGUGAAGGAACUAGGCAAAAUGGUGCCGUAACUUCGGGAGAAGGCACGCUGAUAUGUAGGUGAAGUCCCUCGCGGAUGGAGCUGAAAUCAGUCGAAGAUACCAGCUGGCUGCAACUGUUUAUUAAAAACACAGCACUGUGCAAACACGAAAGUGGACGUAUACGGUGUGACGCCUGCCCGGUACCGGAAGGUUAAUUGAUGGGGUUAGCCGCAAGGCGAAGCUCUUGAUCGAAGCCCCGGUAAACGGCGGCCGUAACUAUAACGGUCCUAAGGUAGCGAAAUUCCUUGUCGGGUAAGUUCCGACCUGCACGAAUGGCGUAAUGAUGGCCAGGCUGUCUCCACCCGAGACUCAGUGAAAUUGAACUCGCUGUGAAGAUGCAGUGUACCCGCGGCAAGACGGAAAGACCCCGUGAACCUUUACUAUAGCUUGACACUGAACAUUGAGCCUUGAUGUGUAGGAUAGGUGGGAGGCUUAGAAGUGUGGACGCCAGUCUGCAUGGAGCCGACCUUGAAAUACCACCCUUUAAUGUUUGAUGUUCUAACGUUGACCCGUAAUCCGGGUUGCGGACAGUGUCUGGUGGGUAGUUUGACUGGGGCGGUCUCCUCCUAAAGAGUAACGGAGGAGCACGAAGGUUGGCUAAUCCUGGUCGGACAUCAGGAGGUUAGUGCAAUGGCAUAAGCCAGCUUGACUGCGAGCGUGACGGCGCGAGCAGGUGCGAAAGCAGGUCAUAGUGAUCCGGUGGUUCUGAAUGGAAGGGCCAUCGCUCAACGGAUAAAAGGUACUCCGGGGAUAACAGGCUGAUACCGCCCAAGAGUUCAUAUCGACGGCGGUGUUUGGCACCUCGAUGUCGGCUCAUCACAUCCUGGGGCUGAAGUAGGUCCCAAGGGUAUGGCUGUUCGCCAUUUAAAGUGGUACGCGAGCUGGGUUUAGAACGUCGUGAGACAGUUCGGUCCCUAUCUGCCGUGGGCGCUGGAGAACUGAGGGGGGCUGCUCCUAGUACGAGAGGACCGGAGUGGACGCAUCACUGGUGUUCGGGUUGUCAUGCCAAUGGCACUGCCCGGUAGCUAAAUGCGGAAGAGAUAAGUGCUGAAAGCAUCUAAGCACGAAACUUGCCCCGAGAUGAGUUCUCCCUGACUCCUUGAGAGUCCUGAAGGAACGUUGAAGACGACGACGUUGAUAGGCCGGGUGUGUAAGCGCAGCGAUGCGUUGAGCUAACCGGUACUAAUGAACCGUGAGGCUUAACCUU
RNAcentral lists this ribosomal RNA (2905 nucleotides) under Escherichia coli. Its description in RNAcentral is "23S ribosomal RNA". It matches the Rfam family "Bacterial large subunit ribosomal RNA". Lineage: Bacteria; Pseudomonadati; Pseudomonadota; Gammaproteobacteria; Enterobacterales; Enterobacteriaceae. The record is from RNAcentral.